RNAcentral lists this ribosomal RNA (428 nucleotides) under uncultured bacterium. RNAcentral's name for it is "bacterial SSU rRNA". It matches the Rfam family "Bacterial small subunit ribosomal RNA", at positions 51 to 459 of the family's 1533-position model. The record is from RNAcentral.
ACACAUGCAAGUCGAACGAAGCAUUUGGGACAGAUUUCUUCGGAUUGAAGUUGCUUAUGACUGAGUGGCGGACGGGUGAGUAACGCGUGGGUAACCUGCCUCACACAGGGGGAUAGCAGUUGGAAACGGCUGAUAAUACCGCAUAAGCGCACAGUACCGCAUGGUACAGUGUGAAAAACUCCGGUGGUGUGAGAUGGACCCGCGUCUGAUUAGCUUGUUGGCGGGGUAACGGCCCACCAAGGCAACGAUCAGUAGCCGACCUGAGAGGGUGACCGGCCACAUUGGGACUGAGACACGGCCCAGACUCCUACGGGAGGCAGCAGUGGGGUAUAUUGCACAAUGGAGGAAACUCUGAUGCAGCGACGCCGCGUGAGUGAAGAAGUAAUUCGAUAUGUAAAGCUCUAUCAGCAGGGAAGAUAGAGACGGUA